GCAGAGGUAGCGAAGUGGUCCAACGCGUAAGGCUUAGGACCUUAUGGCUUAGCGCCCUCGUGGGUUCAAAUCCCACCCUCUGCA
This 84-nucleotide transfer RNA is filed under the name Nanobdellota archaeon. Its description in RNAcentral is "tRNA-Leu". It matches the Rfam family "tRNA". Rfam says of the family: Transfer RNA (tRNA) molecules are approximately 80 nucleotides in length. Their secondary structure includes four short double-helical elements and three loops (D, anti-codon, and T loops). Further hydrogen bonds mediate the characteristic L-shaped molecular structure. tRNAs have two regions of fundamental functional importance: the anti-codon, which is responsible for specific mRNA codon recognition, and the 3' end, to which the tRNAs corresponding amino acid is attached (by aminoacyl-tRNA synthetases). tRNAs cope with the degeneracy of the genetic code in two manners: having more than one tRNA (with a specific anti-codon) for a particular amino acid; and 'wobble' base-pairing, i.e. permitting non-standard base-pairing at the 3rd anti-codon position. Lineage: Archaea; Nanobdellati; Nanobdellota. The record is from RNAcentral.